GGGCGCAUAGCUCAGUUGGCUAGAGCGUUGCAUUCACAUUGCAAAGGCCCAUGGUUCAAAUCCAUGUGCGCCCA
Molecule: transfer RNA, 74 nt
Filed under: Candidatus Gottesmanbacteria bacterium RIFCSPHIGHO2_01_FULL_43_15
Lineage: Bacteria; Candidatus Gottesmaniibacteriota
Also listed under: 2 other names
Description: tRNA-Val
Rfam family: tRNA
About the family: Transfer RNA (tRNA) molecules are approximately 80 nucleotides in length. Their secondary structure includes four short double-helical elements and three loops (D, anti-codon, and T loops).
Source: RNAcentral